RNAcentral lists this ribosomal RNA (579 nucleotides) under uncultured bacterium. RNAcentral describes it as "partial 16S ribosomal RNA". It matches the Rfam family "Bacterial small subunit ribosomal RNA", at positions 355 to 932 of the family's 1533-position model. The record is from RNAcentral.
UGGGGAAUUUUGGACAAUGGGCGAAAGCCUGAUCCAGCAAUGCCGCGUGUGUGAAGAAGGCCUUCGGGUUGUAAAGCACUUUUGUCCGGAAAGAAAUCCUUGGCUCUAAUACAGUCGGGGGAUGACGGUACCGGAAGAAUAAGCACCGGCUAACUACGUGCCAGCAGCCGCGGUAAUACGUAGGGUGCAAGCGUUAAUCGGAAUUACUGGGCGUAAAGCGUGCGCAGGCGGUUUGCUAAGACCGAUGUGAAAUCCCCGGGCUCAACCUGGGAACUGCAUUGGUGACUGGCAGGCUAGAGUAUGGCAGAGGGGGGUAGAAUUCCACGUGUAGCAGUGAAAUGCGUAGAGAUGUGGAGGAAUACCGAUGGCGAAGGCAGCCCCCUGGGCCAAUACUGACGCUCAUGCACGAAAGCGUGGGGAGCAAACAGGAUUAGAUACCCUGGUAGUCCACGCCCUAAACGAUGUCAACUAGUUGUUGGGGAUUCAUUUCCUUAGUAACGUAGCUAACGCGUGAAGUUGACCGCCUGGGGAGCACGGUCGCAAGAUUAAAACUUAAAUGAAUUGACGGGGUCAUAGCUG